Molecule: long non-coding RNA, 450 nt
Filed under: Homo sapiens (human)
Lineage: Eukaryota; Metazoa; Chordata; Mammalia; Primates; Hominidae
Description: growth arrest specific 5
Source: RNAcentral
CUUUUCGAGGUAGGAGUCGACUCCUGUGAGGUAUGGUGCUGGGUGCAGAUGCAGUGUGGCUCUGGAUAGCACCUUAUGGACAGUUGUGUCCCCAAGGAAGGAUGAGAAUAGCUACUGAAGUCCUAAAGAGCAAGCCUAACUCAAGCCAUUGGCACACAGGCAUUAGACAGAAAGCUGGAAGUUGAAAUGGUGGAGUCCAACUUGCCUGGACCAGCUUAAUGGUUCUGGGUUUUUAAUGACCACAACAAGCAAGCAUGCAGCUUACUGCUUGAAAGGGUCUUGCCUCACCCAAGCUAGAGUGCAGUGGCCUUUGAAGCUUACUACAGCCUCAAACUUCUGGGCUCAAGUGAUCCUCAGCCUCCCAGUGGUCUUUGUAGACUGCCUGAUGGAGUCUCAUGGCACAAGAAGAUUAAAACAGUGUCUCCAAUUUUAAUAAAUUUUUGCAAUCCA